GUGCUCGCUUUGGCAGCACAUGUACUAAAAUUGGAACGAUACAGAGAAGAUUAGCAUGGCCCCUGCACAAGGAUGACAUGCAAACUCGUGAAGCGUUCCACAUUUUU
This 107-nucleotide small nuclear RNA is filed under the name Tupaia belangeri (northern tree shrew). Lineage: Eukaryota; Metazoa; Chordata; Mammalia; Scandentia; Tupaiidae. The record is from RNAcentral.